Molecule: ribosomal RNA, 253 nt
Filed under: uncultured bacterium
Lineage: Bacteria
Description: partial 16S ribosomal RNA
Rfam family: Bacterial small subunit ribosomal RNA
Source: RNAcentral
UACGUAGGGGGCAAGCGUUAUCCGGAUUUACUGGGUGUAAAGGGAGCGUAGACGGAAUUGCAAGUCUGAUGUGAAAAUCCGGGGCCCAACCCCGGAACUGCAUUGGAAACUGUAUUUCUAGAGUGUCGGAGAGGCAAGUGGAAUUCCUGGUGUAGCGGUGAAAUGCGUAGAUAUCAGGAGGAACACCAGUGGCGAAGGCGGCUUGCUGAACGAUGACUGACGUUGAGGCUCGAAAGCGUGGGGAGCAAACAGG